This 436-nucleotide unclassified non-coding RNA is filed under the name Hevea brasiliensis (rubber tree). Lineage: Eukaryota; Viridiplantae; Streptophyta; Magnoliopsida; Malpighiales; Euphorbiaceae. The record is from RNAcentral.
GUAAGAUAGCCCAAUACCAAAAGCAUGUAUGAAAAAGGAGUCUACAUUAGAACUUUCAAGGGAAUUGAAGAGUAGUCAAGAAACUUUUAAGCCUUGUGUAUUAGAAAAUAUGAAUCAACGUACAAGGAAUAAAAUUACACAAAAGGUCACACAUGAGAAAUUAACAAUAUGCAUGGAUAUUACACAGGAAUUUUUAAGAAUCAUAAGGUUAAAUCUGGUUAUUUUAGUUUUUGAACUAAUAGCCUAAUCUCCAUUACCUAGAAUUUAUGUUUAUUUAAAAAUUAUUUAAUACCCAUUCUCUAGAAGUUAAUAUGAUCAUUAUAUGAAUCAAAAUCUUGUUAGAUAUGAUCUAGAAUUUAUGGGAAAAUGCAAUAUAUUUGCCGAACCACAUAGUUAAAAGUUCAGACCCUAAUUUCAAGGGCUCUGCACAUGAAGA